AGCAACCUGCCCCUGACUCCGGGAUAAGCGGGGAAACGCCGUCUAAUACCGGAUACGACCCGCCACCUCAUGGUGGAGGGUGGAAAGUUUUAUCGGUCAGGGAUGGGCUCGCGGCCUAUCAGCUUGUUGGUGGGGUAAAGGCCUACCAAGGCGAUUACGGGUAGCCGGCCUGAGAGGGCGACCGGCCACACUGGGACUGAGACACGGCCCAGACUCCUGCGGGAGGCAGCAGUGGGGAAUAUUGCACAAUGGGCGAAAGCCUGAUGCAGCGACGCCGCGUGGGGGAUGAAGGCCUUCGGGUUGUAAACCUCUUUUACCACCAACGCAGGCUCCACGUUCUCGUGGGGUUGACGGUAGGUGGGGAAUAAGGACCGGCUAACUACGUGCCAGCAGCCGCGGUAAUACGUAGGGUCCGAGCGUUGUCCGGAAUUAUUGGGCGUAAAGAGCUCGUAGGCGGCAUGUCGCGUCUGCUGUGAAAGACCGGGGCUUAACUCCGGUUCUGCAGUGGAUACGGUCAUGCUAGAGGUAGGUAGGGGAAACUGGAAUUCCUGGUGUAGCGGUGAAAUGCGCAUAUAUCAUGAGGAACACCGG
RNAcentral lists this ribosomal RNA (591 nucleotides) under Nocardiopsis sp. AU313_bs_Ted1_MB. Its description in RNAcentral is "bacterial SSU rRNA". It matches the Rfam family "Bacterial small subunit ribosomal RNA", at positions 120 to 712 of the family's 1533-position model. The record is from RNAcentral. Lineage: Bacteria; Bacillati; Actinomycetota; Actinomycetes; Streptosporangiales; Nocardiopsidaceae.